UCUACGGGGCGCAGCAGUGAGGAAUAUUGGUCAAUGGGCGCGAGCCUGAACCAGCCAAGUCGCGUGAGGGAAGACGGUCCUAUGGAUUGUAAACCUCUUUUGCCGGGGAGCAAAAGACGCCACGCGUGGCGUUCCGAGCGUACCCGAAGAACAAGCAUCGGCUAACUCCGGGCCAGCAGCCGCGGUAAUACGGAGGAUGCUAGAGUUAUCCGGAUUUAUUGGGUUUAAGGGGUGCGCAGGCGGAAGAUCAAGCCAGCGGUAAAAUUUAGAGGCUCAACCUCUUCGAGCCGUUGAAACUGGUUAUCGUGAGUGAGUGAGAAGUGAGCGGAAUGCGUGGUGUAGCGGUGAAAUGCAUAGAUAUCACGCAGAACUCCGGUUGCGAAGGCAGCAGACCGGCGCUCAACUGACGCUCAUGCACGAAAGUGUGGGUAGCGAACAGGAUUAGAUACCCUUGUAGUC
Molecule: ribosomal RNA, 459 nt
Filed under: uncultured bacterium
Lineage: Bacteria
Description: partial 16S ribosomal RNA
Rfam family: Bacterial small subunit ribosomal RNA
Source: RNAcentral